This 663-nucleotide ribosomal RNA is filed under the name uncultured bacterium. RNAcentral's name for it is "bacterial SSU rRNA". It matches the Rfam family "Bacterial small subunit ribosomal RNA", at positions 126 to 807 of the family's 1533-position model. The record is from RNAcentral.
CUGCCUCAUACAGGGGGAUAACAGCUAGAAAUGACUGCUAAUACCGCAUAAGCGCACAGGACCGCAUGGUCCGGCGUGAAAAACUCCGGUGGUAUGAGAUGGACCCGCGUCUGAUUAGCUGGUUGGUGAGGUAACGGCCCACCAAGGCGACGAUCAGUAGCCGGCCUGAGAGGGUGAACGGCCACAUUGGGACUGAGACACGGCCCAAACUCCUACGGGAAGCAGCAGUGGGGAAUAUUGCACAAUGGGGGAAACCCUGAUGCAGCGACGCCGCGUGAAGGAAGAAGUAUUUCGGUAUGUAAACUUCUAUCAGCAGGGAAGAAAAUGACGGUACCUGACUAAGAAGCCCCGGCUAACUACGUGCCAGCAGCCGCGGUAAUACGUAGGGGGCAAGCGUUAUCCGGAUUUACUGGGUGUAAAGGGAGCGUAGGCGGUUUAGCAAGUCAGAAGUGGAAGCCCGGGGCUCAACUCCGGGACUGCUUUUGAAACUGUUGAACUAGAUUGCAGGAGAGGUAAGUGGAAUUCCUAGUGUAGCGGUGAAAUGCGUAGAUAUUAGGAGGAACACCAGUGGCGAAGGCGGCUUACUGGACUGUAAAUGACGCUGAGGCUCGAAAGCGUGGGGAGCAAACAGGAUUAGAUACCCUGGUAGUCCACGCCGUAAAC